Molecule: signal recognition particle RNA, 98 nt
Filed under: bacterium
Lineage: Bacteria
Description: signal recognition particle sRNA small type
Rfam family: Bacterial small signal recognition particle RNA
About the family: The signal recognition particle (SRP) is a universally conserved ribonucleoprotein involved in the co-translational targeting of proteins to membranes. Archaeal SRP consists of a 7S RNA and homologues of the eukaryotic SRP19 and SRP54 proteins.
Source: RNAcentral
GGGGGGGGCCCUGGCAAUGGCAGCUUGCGAACCUGGUCAGGACGGGAACGUAGCAGCCAUAAGCAUCGCGGCCAUGUGCUCGGGAUUUCCUCCCCGGC